GACGAACGCUGGCGGCGUGCUUAACACAUGCAAGUCGAACGGAAUGGCCCUGCUUUUGUGGGGUGCUCGAGUGGCGAACGGGUGAGUAACACGUGAGUAACCUGCCCUUGACUUUGGGAUAACUUCAGGAAACUGGGGCUAAUACCGGAUAGGAGCUCCUGCUGCAUGGUGGGGGUUGGAAAGUUUCGGCGGUUGGGGAUGGACUCGCGGCCUAUCAGCUUGUUGGUGGGGUAGUGGCUUACCAAGGCUUUGACGGGUAGCCGGCCUGAGAGGGUGACCGGCCACAUUGGGACUGAGAUACGGCCCAGACUCCUACGGGAGGCAGCAGUGGGGAAUAUUGCACAAUGGGCGGAAGCCUGAUGCAGCAACGCCGCGUGCGGGAUGACGGCCUUCGGGUUGUAAACCGCUUUCGCCUGUGACGAAGCGUGAGUGACGGUAAUGGGUAAAGAAGCACCGGCUAACUACGUG
RNAcentral lists this ribosomal RNA (468 nucleotides) under uncultured bacterium. RNAcentral's name for it is "partial 16S ribosomal RNA". It matches the Rfam family "Bacterial small subunit ribosomal RNA", at positions 28 to 507 of the family's 1533-position model. The record is from RNAcentral.